AGAAUCAACGCUGGCGGCGUGCCUAACACAUGCAAGUCGAACGAGAAAGUGGAGCAAUCCAUGAGUAAAGUGGCGACCGGGUGAGUAACACGUGACUAACCUACCCUACAGUGGGGGAUAACUCCGGGAAACCGGGGCUAAUACCGCAUAACAUCGUAAGAUCAAAGGAGCAAUUCGCUGAAGGAGGGGGUCGCGGCUGAUUAGUUAGUUGGUGAGGUAACGGCUCACCAAGACGAAGAUCAGUAGCCGGCCUGAGAGGGCGCACGGCCACACUGGAACUGAAACACGGUCCAGACUCCUACGGGAGGCAGCAGUGGGAAUUUUGCGCAAUGGGGGAAACCCUGAUCCAGCGACGCCGCGUGUGUGAAGAAGGCCUGCGGGUUGUAAAGCACUUUUAGUGGGGACAAAAAGCUACGGAUUAAUACUCUGUGGUCUUGAUUUAACCAAAGAAAAGCACCGGCUAACUCUGUGCCAGCAGCCGC
RNAcentral lists this ribosomal RNA (482 nucleotides) under uncultured bacterium. Its description in RNAcentral is "SSU rRNA". It matches the Rfam family "Bacterial small subunit ribosomal RNA", at positions 26 to 518 of the family's 1533-position model. The record is from RNAcentral.